UAAAGGAAAGAUUUCUUUCUGCUGGUGACAUUCCAAAUGAGGAUGUUUCAAGACUUGGUGCGUUGUAUUUCAUUACUUUGUUUUAGUAGAGGAUUUUAAUCUGAUGGACUCGUUCCCAUGGGGUAAGUCACUCUUUGAGACACUAAUUAGUUCAUUGAGGGAGGGUUUGAGCAAGAGAACGACCCAUUAUAGACUACGAGAUCUUCUAAUAGCAUUUUAAGUAUGGAUUUACGAGACAAUCCCUACCCUCGAUGGAUAUGUAGCAACAAGGACCUCAAGAUCGUAUUCCCGAAUAAUGAAUUGGACGGCAGAUGAUCACCCACCUGCUGCUAAGCUUGACGGACCUGAUUGCUUCUGUAAUCCCAAAGUAAUUAUCUUAACACCAUUUACUAUACGUCAAUGUAUCUCAAAUGUGCUUAUCCUUAAGUCACAAGUCGUAACACAGAACUUAAAUAGUUGUGUAUCUAAGUCAGAUAUUAUACAUAUCAAGUCACAACAUAUGUUCAUUGACUCACAAUUAAUAAUAUACAGGUCACAGAACAUACUCAUGACAUGCAUCACACGGUUAUGACCGUACAUAUACCCAGUUACUGUUACAGCUCAUUGCUUGGGUUUAUUAUUUUGUAUAUCGAUGUAGUGUGCUGACAUUACAAUGUCUUUGUGCUUGGAAUGGCAGAUAGAAAUACGUGACCUGGACCCUUCAGACAUGAAAAUGGCAAUGCCGUACAUGUAUGAAGUACAAUAUAUCAAGCCUGUCCAACUGGAACGUGCACGUGGGGAGGGGAGAAGAGAAAGGGAGGUAUGGUGGACAAAUCAGUUCAUUCCAUCAGGACAACUGGGAAGCCGAGUUACUCGAGUAAAAAAACAUCUACGCCACUGCUUAUGAUUACGGAUGGUAGACUUGGUCACUCUGAUGUGCCUCUUGACGAUCGUGAUGACGAUUUUGUUGACACCCUACCCAGAUGGUAGGGAAAAACGUUCAAUGCCAAUUUGCCUAGUAGGGAGGAUCAGCCGGCGCCAAACGAUAUAAGUUGUUAAAUAAUGUCAGCUGUGGGUCACGGGUCACAUUUUCUAGCUAACGGUUUUUCUGUCAAUUCAUUACGGGUCACAGGUUAUUCCACCUUUUGCUGUGUUCAUGAGUCGUCGUGUGCACACAUCACAUGUAUUAGAAACAUGUCAUAGAACGGGUCACAUGUCACAGGUUAUGACACAUUCAGUUAUUAUUCUUGGUGCAACAUCGUAGUUCGUUUCUAUGUCAUAGUUUAUAGGUCAUUGAUCUGUUAGUUCAUUAUGGGUCGCAGGCAUCUGGACUAUAGAUGUUUUCACCAUUUUAUUGCCACUGAUAAUGGGUAGUCAUGUGGUGUAGGUGGUUGAUGAAAUGCGAAAAUAGUUUUUCAAACAAUUAACUGAACUCCAAACUGAGAAUCGUCGGAUGAGUGUGGUAAUCGAUGCGAUGAAGUCAGAGAUAUUGUCGCUCAAGCAUGAUCAGCAAAACAAAUUGAACAAUAUUAUCCACAUGCAAGGUGAAAUCCAUACAGAUUUGAUUGACAUCAGAUCGAACUUACAGUUUAUGACCGAAUCUAUGACCGCCUUGAUUUCUAGUUCCAUGGAAAAAAUCUUGACCAAAUUCAGAGAUAAAUCUGGGUUAAACAUUGUCAGAGAUUAUGAACCUUUGGAUAAGGUAAUCAACAUACCAUGUGAUCUCAUAAAAUGAUAUAUGUUCAUUUGUCUAUGAACUUUGACUAUGAUUAUACAUUUUAUGUUACAGGUUGGAGAUGCUGAAAUAACAGUUGAUUCUAAAGGCAAGGGUAAGAUGGAAACCGACGUUGACGUUGAAUUUCCAUAUAGCCUACAACCUCCAUCCUUCAAUCUGGGUAUUUGUUUCACGCAACCAACACCCAUAGAACCAAGGAAAUCAAAAAAGGUGGAAACGUAUGUUGCGUUUGUCGUAUAUGAUGUUCUGAAGGACACGAAAUUUGCUGAGAAGGUGGUAAGCCCAGAUAAUUCUGUCAGCUAUGUAAACUACUGUGCGUUGCAUGUUUCAGCAAGUCAUAGUCCAUAUUAAAUUAACAUGCAGGAGUCUCCUAUUUCUGCGCAAAGUUCUGGAUUGCCUGUUAAGAGGGCUCCUAAGCCGGCUAAAGCACUUCAAUCUACGUAUGUUCAUGAAGGGAAGCAAAACAAGCAUUCUAAUAAUGUCGUAAUCUUCCAACACUACAAUCAGUCUGUGGACCAUGCCGAUAUUGCUGACUUUCAGAGUUGGUUCCAGAGAGGAUAUAAGCCACAUAACAAGAAAAAGUUUAAUGACCGAGAUGAUUGUAUUCGUCCACCUUUUCUUGUUGGUCAGUUCCUCAUCGGAAAUAAAACAUGGUGGUAUGGACUUGUGUCUAGGGAUGUGUCAAUGAGUAGUUCGGUAUGUAUCCUUUUGUAAGUCUCAAUUCAUAUGCGUAGGUCAUAGAUUCCAUGGUCAUGGUCAUAGCCAAGUAACUAUAUGUCACUGCCUGCGUCCUUCUUACAUUCCAGCAUUUAUAAAGUUAAUAAUGCGAUACACGUGUUUCAUAUGUCCCAAUGCAGGUCACAUUUUUGUAUACAUAACAUGUCACAUGUAAUGGUCACAGGCCAUUUGAGGUUGGUCGCAGAUAAAGGAGAAAAGGUCACAGUUUAUUUACAGAGUGCACUCCAGCAUAUUUUCUGGUCACAUUUCACCCUGCACAAUUUAGAAGAUGGUGGUACGAAGUUGUGUCUAGGUAUGGGUCACUGAGUUGUUCGGUGUGCAUCUAUUUGUAAGUCUCAAUUCAUAUGAGUAUGUCAUACAUUCCAUGGUCAUGGUCACAGCCAAUUUAUAAAGUUCGCAAUGCCAUAUGCAUGGUUUGUAUGUCCCAAUGCAGGUCACAUUUUGGUAUGCAUAACAGGUCACAUGUAAUGAUUACAGACCAUUUGCGGUUGGUCACAGAUAAUGGUGAAUAGGUCACAGUCAUUUACAGAGUGCACUCAAGCAUAUUUUCUGGUCACAGUUCACCCUGCACAAUUUAUAAGUCAAUUCAAUCUCACAGUUUUCCAUUUUUUUAGCAUAUGGAUGUGUGCUUCUACUACAUACGUAAGUUACCAAGUAAUGGCAAAAACAUUAAAGUCAUCGCCAGCACGACCGACACGUUGUUUCAAGCUAAGCUGAAAAACAUGUACCACAAGUUCAAGUAAGAUCCAGAGGUAAUUGUCACGGAUGAGAGACUCAUUGACGACAUCACAGGUGCACGAAUUCCAUUGAGCAAACCUUGGGCAGAAGUGGACCUUGUGUUCAUGCCCAUUCUGCCUACAAACAAAACACAUUAGAUACUUGCAGUGCUUGAUAUCAAAAAGCAGACCUUACUUGUAUUAAAUUCGGCAAGGGAAACAUACAAUGACAUCAAGAUCCUUAUUGGAAUUGAUCCUUUCGUUAAAAUGAUCCCUCACCUCAUGGACCGUAUUGGAAUUUGGAGAAAGAAUUCAGAUCCAUCUGCUGACGAUUCCAAGGACUUGAAGGUGGUGCUUAAUUCCUCCGUCCUGCAACAGAAUAAUGGGCAUAACUGUGGCAUAUAUGUGAUUAAAUAUGCCGAGUACAUGCUUCUUGACGAUUUAGGAUCGAUGCCGAUGAAAUUCGAUGCGGUUGGAGCACGUCUGGAUGUUGCAUCAUUGUUAUUCAAGCACCGUGAAAUCAGUACAGAGAGGAAGACGUUGCUGCCAACCGGUGGAGAUAGUAUAGUUAUUGAGUGAUAUUAGAGGUGUAGUUUGAAAAUACAGUAGAAUGGAAUGUGAAGUGUGGUUAUGGAUAAUUUUUUUGUUUGCUUUGAACAAGGGUGUUGUGUUAUGGGGAUACUCUUUUG
RNA transcript from Olea europaea var. sylvestris, 3857 nucleotides. RefSeq lists it as uncharacterized. The transcript has 3 exons. The record is from RefSeq and is a predicted model, not a curated record. NCBI's taxonomy places the organism in Eukaryota, Viridiplantae, Streptophyta, Magnoliopsida, Lamiales, Oleaceae.